UACGGGGGGGGCAAGCGUUGUUCGGAAUUACUGGGCGUAAAGCGUGCGCAGGCGGUUUGUUAAGUCUGAUGUGAAAGCCCCGGGCUCAACCUGGGAACUGCAUUGGAAACUGGCAAGCUCGAGUAUGGCAGAGGGGGGUGGAAUUCCGCGUGUAGCAGUGAAAUGCGUAGAGAUGCGGAGGAACACCGAUGGCGAAGGCAGCCCCCUGGGCCAAUACUGACGCUCAGGCACGAAAGCGUGGGGAGCAAACAGG
Molecule: ribosomal RNA, 253 nt
Filed under: uncultured bacterium
Lineage: Bacteria
Description: partial 16S ribosomal RNA
Rfam family: Bacterial small subunit ribosomal RNA
Source: RNAcentral